This 236-nucleotide ribosomal RNA is filed under the name uncultured bacterium. Its description in RNAcentral is "partial 16S ribosomal RNA". It matches the Rfam family "Bacterial small subunit ribosomal RNA", at positions 524 to 757 of the family's 1533-position model. The record is from RNAcentral.
UACGGAGGGUGCGAGCGUUAUCCGGAUUCACUGGGUUUAAAGGGUGCGUAGGUGGGAAUGUAAGUCAGUGGUGAAAUCUCUGAGCUUAACUCAGAAACUGCCAUUGAUACUAUGUUUCUUGAAUUUUCUGGAGGUCAGCGGAAUAUGUCAUGUAGCGGUGAAAAUGCUUAGAUAUGACAUAGAACACCAAUUGCGAAGGCAGCUGGCUACAGAGAUAUUGACACUUGAGGCACGAA